AGUGAACGCUGGCGGCAGGCCUAACACAUGCAAGUCGAGCGGCAGCGCGGGGCAACCUGGCGGCGAGCGGCGGACGGGUGAGGAAUACGUCGGAAUCUGCCUUUUUGUGGGGGAUAACGUAGGGAAACUUACGCUAAUACCGCAUACGACCUACGGGUGAAAGUGGGGGACCGCAAGGCCUCACGCAGAAAGAUGAGCCGACGUCCGAUUAGCUAGUUGGUGAGGUAAUGGCUCACCAAGGCGACGAUCGGUAGCUGGGCUGAGAGGAUGAUCAGGCCCACUGGGACUGAGACACGGCCCAGACUCCUACGGGAGGCAGCAGUGGGGAAUAUUGGACAAUGGGCGCAAGCCUGAUCCAGCCAUGCCGCGUGUGUGAAGAAGGCCUUCGGGUUGUAAAGCACUUUUGUCCGGAAAGAAAUCCUGAAGAUUAAUACUCUUUGGGGAUGACGGUACCGGAAGAAUAAGCACCGGCUAACUUCGUGCCAGCCGCCGCGGUAA
This 498-nucleotide ribosomal RNA is filed under the name uncultured bacterium. Its description in RNAcentral is "partial 16S ribosomal RNA". It matches the Rfam family "Bacterial small subunit ribosomal RNA", at positions 29 to 523 of the family's 1533-position model. The record is from RNAcentral.